ACGGAGGAUGCGAGCGUUAUCCGGAUUUAUUGGGCUUAAAGGGCGCGUAGGCGGAUAGAUAAGUCAGUGGUGAAAACCUGCAGCUUAACUGUAGACUUGCCGUUGAUACUGUCAGUCUUGAGUAUGGUCAAGGUAGGCGGAAUGCGUGGUGUAGCGGUGAAAUGCGUAGAUAUUACGCGGAACACCGAUUGCGAAGGCAGCUUACUGGACCGUUACUGACGCUGAGGCGCGAAAGCGUGGGGAUCAAACAG
This 251-nucleotide ribosomal RNA is filed under the name uncultured prokaryote. RNAcentral's name for it is "partial 16S rRNA". It matches the Rfam family "Bacterial small subunit ribosomal RNA", at positions 525 to 775 of the family's 1533-position model. The record is from RNAcentral.